UAUGGUUCUUCAAAUAAUUACGCAAGCUUAUAUAUUUAUCAUUGGUUGGGAAAGGAGGGCGUGAUUCAGUUUAAAAAAGACGCAUUUAAAUUCCCAUAAAAUGCGCGAAAAUCCCGGCAGAAAAUCAGUAAAACGUACACCAUUAAAUCGAGACUUAGUUACUGGCGUGCCAUAGUGGUACUUUCUGGGGAUACCUAUGCUAAAAUAAAUCACUUUCCACAGAGUUUCCAUUUACAAUUGCAUGCAGCGAUCCAAUCAAAAUGUUUGUUAGAAAAAUCUCUUUACGUCUCAGGUCGGCCAGAUUUUCUGCGUUCUGUAGUUGAUGAGAAUUAUACAAAUCAGAAAUCUAUUGACGAUUUCAACCAGUAAAAAUGUGAAUUUUAUUUUCGGCCGGGUAUCGUUAGAAAGGUAUAUCUAUUAGUAUAAGCCACGAGUAGUUCUUGUUUGAUUUGCAUUUGAAAUUAAUAGUGCAAAGCAUGGUGAAAAAGACCACUGUCGGAACAACUGCCAAAGGGUGACAAAAAUGGCUGACGUCGCAGAAGUUUUUAUGUUUGACAUUUUAUUAAUCGUAACAGUAGCAACGGAAUGAAUUCGAUUUCGAAUAUAAUUCAGUAAACAAAAAAGAUUUGAAUUGCAUUACAUUUUCAUUCCUCUAUUUCUUUAUAGAAAAUUACGGUAAGUUGAAAUGUUGCGCGUUUUUGAUGCAUCAGAGUAUGCACUUUUUGUUGAUAUUUUCAUUGAAAUUAAAAAGCCCCAUUGAAUCUAAAAAUCCCCUAUUAAUUUCAGGGCCAAGGGGGGAUUUUUCACAUUGCAAAAAUUUCUUUCCCAACUGAUUUAUCAAAUGUUAUAUGGAUUAUUAAAACACUGUUCACUGUGAUCAUAUGAUAUAUGUUUCACACAGAUUAUGUAAUUAUACUUUGCUUUUUCACAAAGUUGUGCUCUUUGUAUUUGUUUUAAGUUGUUGCAUGUCAGUUUGUGUCUCAGUAACGCAUGUUUGAAUGGAUUGAAACUUCACACUUGUGUGCUUUGUGAUGGCCUGACAUGCUUCACAUAUCACAUAGCUCAAUUUUGCUUUUGCACAAAGAAACAUCCCUCUCUUUUUUUCCCACGUGAUGUUUACAUUGCAUUAAGAUGAUAUCUCAGUAACAACUCAAUUAAAAUGGAUUUAACUACAGACUUGUGUACUUUAAUUAUGUGAUAAGCAUUGUAUAGAAUCCACAAUUUUUGGCUUGUCUGAUUUUCGAAAAAACACUACAAGGUGCCGUCGCUUGAUCGUCGGCAUCUGCAUUGGUUAAAUUUUUUGUUUAGGUCCACAUUUUCUCAAAAACUGUAAGAGCUACAGCUUUGAAACUUUGCACACUUGUUUAUCAUCAUUAGGUGACUAUGUAUGCGAAGAACCAUAACUCGAACCUGCAUUUUUUCAGAAUUAUGGCCCUUUUUAUGCCCCGAAGGGAGGCAUAUUAGUUUUCAACUGUCCGUCCGUUCGUCCGUCACAACGUUAACUUUUUGCAUGAUGGCACUUUACUCGCGAACCAGUGCACCCAGGACCUUCAAACUUCACAUGCUGAUAGUACUUACUGAGUACACCACCCCUACAGACUUUGGGGUCAAUGGUCAAGGUCACGGGCAAACAUUAACUUUUUGCAUGAAGGCACUUUAGUCGCGAACCACUCUACCCAGGCCCUUCAGACUUAACAUGCUGAUAGUACUUAUUGAGUACACCACACCUACUGACUUUGGGGUCACCAGGUCAAAGGUCAAGGUGCUGCGGGGGCAUUUGUCACCAUUAGUGACAGCUCUUGUUUUUCUUAGAAAUUCUGAACUAUAAGUCUUUCCUUGCAUACUGUCUAGCACUUGCAGACAAGCGAUGGCACCCGUAGGCAGGCUCUUAUUUCUUUGUCACAAAGUUAUGACCCUUUUGUCGACCACCAUUUGUGGGUAACAAUUUCUGUAACUGUUGCUGUCUUCCCACAGCUCUUGUUACUUAGUAGGAUGUUGAUGCCCUUUCUGAGUUGUGCAACUGGCAUGGGUGGUCCUGUCAUUUGAGCCAAUUUAGUGUUCACAUCAAGUUUGAUUUUAAAUUUAACCGUUCAUAAGUCUUUUUUAGCUCAUCUGAUUUUUUGAAAAGAAAUGAUGAGUUAUUGUCAUCACUUGAGCGGUUGUCGGCGUCGGCGUUGCCUGGUUAAGUUUUAUGUUUAGGUCAGCUUUUCUCCUAAACUAUCAAAGCUAUUGCUUUGAAACUUUGAAUACUUGUUCACCAACAUAAGCUGACCCUGUAUAGCAAGAAACAUAACUUCAUCUUGCUUUUUGCAAGAUUUAUGGCCCCUUUUGUACUUAAAAAAAAUACCAGAUUUCUUGGUUUAGUUUAUGUUUAGGUCAACUUUUCUCCUAAACUAUCAAAGCUAUUGCUUUGAAACUUGGAAUACUUGUUCACCAUCAUAAGCAGACCCUGUACAUCAAGAAACAUAACUCCAUCUUGCUUUUUGCAAGAUUUAUUGCCCCUUUUGGACUUAGAAAAUCAGUUUUCUUGGUUAAGUUUUAUGUUUAGGUCAGAUUUUAUCCUAAACUAUCAAAGCUAUUGCUAUAAAACUUGCAACACUUGUUCACCAUCCUAAGUUGACCCUGUACAGCAAGCAACAUAACUCCAUCCUGCUUUUUGCAAGAUUUAUGGCACCAUUUGGACUUAGAAAAUAUCAGAUUUCUUGGUUAAGUUUUAUGUUUAGGUCAACUUUUUCUCUUAAACUAUCAAAGCUAUUGCUUUGAAACUUGCAACACUUGUUGACCAUCAUAAGCUGACCCUGUACAGCAAGCAACAUAACUCCAUCCUGCUUUUUGCAAUAAUUAUUGCCCCUUUUGGACUUAGAAAAUCAUUUUCUUGGUUGAGUAUUAUGUUUAAGUCAACUUUUCUCAUAAACUAUCAAAGCUAUUGCUUUAAAACUUGCAACAGUUUUUCACCAUCAUAAGUGGACACUGAACAUCAAGAAACAUAACUCUAUCCUGCUUUUUGCAAGAAUGAUGGCCCUUUUUAGACUUAGAAAAUCAUGGGUAGGACAAUAUUUCUAUUACACAAAAAAAAUCAGGUGAGCGUCAGCACCCGCAAGGCGGUGCUCUUGUUUUACUGCUAUUUUAGAGAAAAAUAUUGAUAAGAUAUGGAACAUUUUAUUUAUCAUCUUACUUUUAACAGUUCAUAGUAUAUGCACGAAGCAAAUAUUGCCAAAGAAACCCAAACUGAUAGGCUACCAGACAAAAAUAUUAGUAGCCCGCAAAUGAAUGUGCAGAUUCCUGAAACCCUGCAUGAAUGAAUAGCUUGAAUGUUUAACGCAAACAUUGUGUUUUAAUGUUCUGC
Mercenaria mercenaria is the source of this 3346-nucleotide long non-coding RNA. RefSeq lists it as uncharacterized. The record is from RefSeq and is a predicted model, not a curated record. Lineage: Eukaryota; Metazoa; Mollusca; Bivalvia; Venerida; Veneridae. The transcript is spliced from 2 exons.